AUAGUAAGCCGGUUUGUCGCUAUGCCGCAAGGUAGAGAGGAAAGUCCGGGCAACAUAGGGUACCAUGCUUCAUAACGUGAAGCCGUUCGUGAGGGCGGAUUAGUGUAACAGAAAAUAACCGCUGCUAUGCAGUAAGGGUGAAAAGGCGAGGUAAGAGCUCACCGCUUCGGUCGGAAUAUCGAAGAUCGUACACAUCAUGGGUUGCAAAACCAAAUAUACCGGCGUAGUAGGACGACCCGUCUGAUGCCGAGGGGUAGGUUGCUUGAGCUUGAUGGCAACAUCAAGUCCAGAUAAAUGACAGACACCCGCAAGGGUACAGAACCCGGCUUAUAGGCUUACUAUUUUU
RNAcentral lists this RNase P RNA (346 nucleotides) under Paludibacteraceae bacterium. Its description in RNAcentral is "RNase P RNA component class A". It matches the Rfam family "Bacterial RNase P class A". Rfam says of the family: Ribonuclease P (RNase P) is a ubiquitous endoribonuclease, found in archaea, bacteria and eukarya as well as chloroplasts and mitochondria. Its best characterised activity is the generation of mature 5'-ends of tRNAs by cleaving the 5'-leader elements of precursor-tRNAs. Lineage: Bacteria; Pseudomonadati; Bacteroidota; Bacteroidia; Bacteroidales; Paludibacteraceae. The record is from RNAcentral. RNAcentral also lists the same sequence under 1 other name.